GAGGGUAUAGCUCAAGUGGUAUAGUGCAUGUUUAGCAUACACAAGGUCCUGGGUUCAACCCCUGGUACCUUCU
This 73-nucleotide transfer RNA is filed under the name Camelus bactrianus (Bactrian camel). It matches the Rfam family "tRNA". From Rfam's summary of the family: Transfer RNA (tRNA) molecules are approximately 80 nucleotides in length. Their secondary structure includes four short double-helical elements and three loops (D, anti-codon, and T loops). Further hydrogen bonds mediate the characteristic L-shaped molecular structure. tRNAs have two regions of fundamental functional importance: the anti-codon, which is responsible for specific mRNA codon recognition, and the 3' end, to which the tRNAs corresponding amino acid is attached (by aminoacyl-tRNA synthetases). tRNAs cope with the degeneracy of the genetic code in two manners: having more than one tRNA (with a specific anti-codon) for a particular amino acid; and 'wobble' base-pairing, i.e. permitting non-standard base-pairing at the 3rd anti-codon position. RNAcentral also lists the same sequence under 2 other names. Lineage: Eukaryota; Metazoa; Chordata; Mammalia; Artiodactyla; Camelidae. The record is from Rfam by way of RNAcentral.